CGGGAAUAAACGGAUCCACGCGUGGAUUUUUGCAUGUACCGUAUGAAUAAGGAUCGGCUAACUCCGUGCCAGCAGCCGCGGUAAUACUCGUAGAGGCAGCAGUGGGGGAUAUUGCACAAUGGGGGAAACCCUGAUGCAGCGACGCCGCGUGGGUGAAGAAGCGCCUCGGCGCGUAAAGCCCUGUCAGCAGGGAAGAAAAUGACGGUACCUGAAGAAGAAGCCCCGGCUAACUACGUGCC
This 239-nucleotide ribosomal RNA is filed under the name uncultured bacterium. Its description in RNAcentral is "partial 16S ribosomal RNA". It matches the Rfam family "Bacterial small subunit ribosomal RNA", at positions 62 to 509 of the family's 1533-position model. The record is from RNAcentral.